GAUGAACGCUGGCGGCGUGCCUAAUACAUGCAAGUCGAACGCACAGCGAAAGGUGCUUGCACCUUUCAAGUGAGUGGCGAACGGGUGAGUAACACGUGGACAACCUGCCUCAAGGCUGGGGAUAACAUUUGGAAACAGAUGCUAAUACCGAAUAAAACUCAGUGUCGCAUGACACAAAGUUAAAAGGCGCUUUGGCGUCACCUAGAGAUGGAUCCGCGGUGCAUUAGUUAGUUGGUGGGGUAAAGGCCUACCAAGACAAUGAUGCAUAGCCGAGUUGAGAGCCUAGUCGGCCACAUGGGGACUGAGACACGGCCCAAACUCCUACGGGAGGCUGCAGUAGGGAAUCUUCCACAAUGGGCGAAAGCCUGAUGGAGCAACGCCGCGUGUGUGAUGAAGGCUUUCGGGUCGUAAAGCACUGUUGUAUGGGAAGAACAGCUAGAAUAGGGAAUGAUUUUAGUUUGACGGUACCAUACCAGAAAGGGACGGCUGAAUACGUGCCAGCAGCCGCCGUAA
This 513-nucleotide ribosomal RNA is filed under the name uncultured bacterium. RNAcentral describes it as "partial 16S ribosomal RNA". It matches the Rfam family "Bacterial small subunit ribosomal RNA", at positions 28 to 523 of the family's 1533-position model. The record is from RNAcentral.